This 347-nucleotide ribosomal RNA is filed under the name uncultured soil bacterium. Its description in RNAcentral is "bacterial SSU rRNA". It matches the Rfam family "Bacterial small subunit ribosomal RNA", at positions 26 to 364 of the family's 1533-position model. The record is from RNAcentral.
AGGACGAACGCUGGCGGCGUGCUUAACACAUGCAAGUCGAGCGAGAGCCAGCUGAGGGGUAACCCUCGGCUGGGGACAGCGGCGAACGGGUGCGUAACACGUGGGCAACCUGCCCCUGACACUGGGAUAACCCCGGGAAACCGGAGCUAAUACCGGAUACUCUCGGCCGAUCACAUGGCUGGCCGAGGAAAGGUCCGCCGGUCAGGGGAUGGGCCCGCGGCCUAUCAGCUUGUUGGUGAGGUAACGGCCACCAAGGCGACGACGGGUAGCUGGUCUGAGAGGACGACCAGCCACACUGGAACUGAGAUACGGUCCAGACUCCUACGGGAGGCAGCAGUGGGGGAAUA